CGCUUUGCUGGUUGGUAAUGGUUUAACGGCAGCAGCAAAGAUGAAGUGUCCUACUGUUGGAAAAGGUGCUGAAACAGGACAAAGGGUGGCGAAGUUAGAGCCCUUGCAUCGAACGUCUGGCGGGU
This 125-nucleotide non-coding RNA is filed under the name unclassified sequences. Its description in RNAcentral is "Betaproteobacteria-1 RNA". It matches the Rfam family "Betaproteobacteria-1 RNA". The record is from Rfam by way of RNAcentral.